Molecule: ribosomal RNA, 1536 nt
Filed under: Klebsiella pneumoniae
Lineage: Bacteria; Pseudomonadati; Pseudomonadota; Gammaproteobacteria; Enterobacterales; Enterobacteriaceae
Description: bacterial SSU rRNA
Rfam family: Bacterial small subunit ribosomal RNA
Source: RNAcentral
UUGAAGAGUUUGAUCAUGGCUCAGAUUGAACGCUGGCGGCAGGCCUAACACAUGCAAGUCGAGCGGUAGCACAGAGAGCUUGCUCUCGGGUGACGAGCGGCGGACGGGUGAGUAAUGUCUGGGAAACUGCCUGAUGGAGGGGGAUAACUACUGGAAACGGUAGCUAAUACCGCAUAAUGUCGCAAGACCAAAGUGGGGGACCUUCGGGCCUCAUGCCAUCAGAUGUGCCCAGAUGGGAUUAGCUAGUAGGUGGGGUAACGGCUCACCUAGGCGACGAUCCCUAGCUGGUCUGAGAGGAUGACCAGCCACACUGGAACUGAGACACGGUCCAGACUCCUACGGGAGGCAGCAGUGGGGAAUAUUGCACAAUGGGCGCAAGCCUGAUGCAGCCAUGCCGCGUGUGUGAAGAAGGCCUUCGGGUUGUAAAGCACUUUCAGCGGGGAGGAAGGCGGUAAGGUUAAUAACCUUGUCGAUUGACGUUACCCGCAGAAGAAGCACCGGCUAACUCCGUGCCAGCAGCCGCGGUAAUACGGAGGGUGCAAGCGUUAAUCGGAAUUACUGGGCGUAAAGCGCACGCAGGCGGUCUGUCAAGUCGGAUGUGAAAUCCCCGGGCUCAACCUGGGAACUGCAUUCGAAACUGGCAGGCUAGAGUCUUGUAGAGGGGGGUAGAAUUCCAGGUGUAGCGGUGAAAUGCGUAGAGAUCUGGAGGAAUACCGGUGGCGAAGGCGGCCCCCUGGACAAAGACUGACGCUCAGGUGCGAAAGCGUGGGGAGCAAACAGGAUUAGAUACCCUGGUAGUCCACGCCGUAAACGAUGUCGAUUUGGAGGUUGUGCCCUUGAGGCGUGGCUUCCGGAGCUAACGCGUUAAAUCGACCGCCUGGGGAGUACGGCCGCAAGGUUAAAACUCAAAUGAAUUGACGGGGGCCCGCACAAGCGGUGGAGCAUGUGGUUUAAUUCGAUGCAACGCGAAGAACCUUACCUGGUCUUGACAUCCACAGAACUUUCCAGAGAUGGAUUGGUGCCUUCGGGAACUGUGAGACAGGUGCUGCAUGGCUGUCGUCAGCUCGUGUUGUGAAAUGUUGGGUUAAGUCCCGCAACGAGCGCAACCCUUAUCCUUUGUUGCCAGCGGUUCGGCCGGGAACUCAAAGGAGACUGCCAGUGAUAAACUGGAGGAAGGUGGGGAUGACGUCAAGUCAUCAUGGCCCUUACGACCAGGGCUACACACGUGCUACAAUGGCAUAUACAAAGAGAAGCGACCUCGCGAGAGCAAGCGGACCUCAUAAAGUAUGUCGUAGUCCGGAUUGGAGUCUGCAACUCGACUCCAUGAAGUCGGAAUCGCUAGUAAUCGUAGAUCAGAAUGCUACGGUGAAUACGUUCCCGGGCCUUGUACACACCGCCCGUCACACCAUGGGAGUGGGUUGCAAAAGAAGUAGGUAGCUUAACCUUCGGGAGGGCGCUUACCACUUUGUGAUUCAUGACUGGGGUGAAGUCGUAACAAGGUAACCGUAGGGGAACCUGCGGUUGGAUCACCUCCUU